GAUGAACGUUGGCGGCGUGCCUAAUACAUGCAAGUCGAACGAAGACUGUAGUAAUACUGUCUUAGUGGCGAACGGGUGAGUAACGCGUGGGUGACCUGCCCCGAAGUGUGGGAUAACAGUUCGAAAGAACUGCUAAUACCGCAUAACAUCCAAGAGAUUAGAAGCUUUUGGAUUAAAGGAGUAAUUCGCUUCGGGAGGGGCCCGCGUCCCAUCAGCUAGUUGGUAAGGUAAUGGCUUACCAAGGCGAUGACGGGUAGGGGACCUGAGAGGGUGGCCCCCACAAUGGAACUGAAACACGGUCCAUACACCUACGGGUGGCAGCAGUAGGGAAUAUUAGUAAUGGGCGAAAGCCUGAACUAGCAACGCCGCGUGUGCGAAGAAGGCCUUCGGGUUGUAAAGCACUUUUUGAGAGGAUGAGGAAGGACGGUACUCUCAGAAUAAGUCUCGGCUAACUACGUG
This 459-nucleotide ribosomal RNA is filed under the name uncultured bacterium. RNAcentral describes it as "bacterial SSU rRNA". It matches the Rfam family "Bacterial small subunit ribosomal RNA", at positions 28 to 507 of the family's 1533-position model. The record is from RNAcentral.